UGGGGAAUUUUGGACAAUGGGCGAAAGCCUGAUCCAGCAAUGCCGCGUGUGUGAAGAAGGCCUUCGGGUUGUAAAGCACUUUUGUCCGGAAAGAAAUCCUCUGGGUUAAUACCUCGGGGGGAUGACGGUACCGGAAGAAUAAGCACCGGCUAACUACGUGCCAGCAGCCGCGGUAAUACGUAGGGUGCAAGCGUUAAUCGGAAUUACUGGGCGUAAAGCGUGCGCAGGCGGUUUUGUAAGACGGAUGUGAAAUCCCCGGGCUUAACCUGGGAACUGCAUUCGUGACUGCAAGGCUAGAGUAUGGCAGAGGGGGGUUAGAAUUCCACGUGUAGCAGUGAAAUGCGUAGAGAUGUGGAGGAAUACCGAUGGCGAAGGCAGCCCCCUGGGCCAAUACUGACGCUCAUGCACGAAAGCGUGGGGAGCAAACAGGAUUAGAUACCCUGGUAGUCCACGCCCUAAACGAUGUCAACUAGUUGUUGGGGAUUCAUUUCCUUAGUAACGUAGCUAACGCGUGAAGUUGACCGCCUGGGGGAGUACGGUCGCAAGAUUAAAACUCAAAUGAAUUGACGGGGUCAUAGCUGUUUCC
Molecule: ribosomal RNA, 586 nt
Filed under: uncultured bacterium
Lineage: Bacteria
Description: partial 16S ribosomal RNA
Rfam family: Bacterial small subunit ribosomal RNA
Source: RNAcentral